CAGUAGCCACGGGAAUACGGAGGGGGCUAGCGUUGUUCGGAAUUACUGGGCGUAAAGCGCACGUAGGCGGCUUUGUAAGUUAGAGGUGAAAGCCCGGAGCUCAACUCCGGAAUUGCCUUUAAGACUGCAGAGCUAGCAGGUGAGAGAGGUGAGUGGAAUUCCGAGUGUAGAGGUGAAAUUCGUAGAUAUUCGGAAGAACACCAGUGGCGAAGGCGGCUCACUGGCUCAUACUGGACGCUGAGGUGCGAAAGCGUGGGGAGCAAACAGGAUUAGAUACCCGCGUAGUCCCUGUCUCUUAUAC
RNAcentral lists this ribosomal RNA (301 nucleotides) under uncultured bacterium. RNAcentral's name for it is "partial 16S ribosomal RNA". It matches the Rfam family "Bacterial small subunit ribosomal RNA", at positions 509 to 807 of the family's 1533-position model. The record is from RNAcentral.